CACCGUCACCAAACGUCAUAUCCAACCGUGAAUUCACGACUUCGCCGGCGCCUAACAACACAAUUUAGCUACCGCAAUUGUGCACGACGAACCUUCUUCUCCGCCCAAUCCUAGAGCAACUCUUUCGUGUUAAGGAUUUGAUAGGUUGGCGAAUUUCGUAAAGUUGUUUGGAGUCUUGAAGAGUUGAUCGCAGAAGUUUUUGAGAAAAGAUUCAAAUUGGAGGACAAAGACUCAUUCGGAAAGAUCGACACCUAAGGUAUGAAGAANGCUGGGAGUGUGAAAACUACCACCACAUGGAGGAAAGAGCUACCACCCCGGUCGUCCGGUUAGUGUGUGCAGCUACCACAUGUUGAUUAAAGUAUCUAUGUGCAACAAAAGAAAAUUACCUCUCAGAAAGAGAAAAAGUAAGAAUAAUUUGCUCAAAGAGCUAUACAUCUUGGAGUUGAUAUAAGGUGGAAUGUUAAUAAAAGAUGCUCAAAGAGCCACUCCUGUCUCAAACGAUGUGCAUAACUCAAUUUAAUCAUGUUAUGUUAAUUUCACAAUUUUGAGAAAUAUUUAUUUCAUUUUCUUUAACAAAAUAUGAUGAUAAAAUGAUACAAUUUAUUUCUAGAUCUUGCAUGAUGUGUGGGAUAUUAUUUUAUAUGUAUCAAGAAUUCUCUUUGAUUUUUCGGUUUAAAAUUUUGAAAUUUUGAAUAUCCCUGAAAUUGAUUUUUCAAAAUUCAUUUAUAAAAUUUUAUUUAAGUUUUUUUUUUGGGAUGAAAAUAGGUUAUUUGUGAUGAUUACAUAUUAAGAAAUACCCUUACAUUUUUUUUUUGGAUUUUUCGGGCUGUAUUUAAAAUUUUUGAAAAUUUUCUGUCUCGGAGACCGGUCUCAGGGAAGAGAGACCGGUCCCUCCGCCCGAACCGAUAUAAGGGUGUAUGCAGUUUUUUCUUUUCACUUUACCAAUCUCGCUUAGGUUUUUUUCUCCAGAGCUUCUAAUAUUCCCAGGGUAUUUUUGCUUCAAAUCUUCAUCAAUUUACACUUGAUUUAGGUACGAUUCUCGGAUUUUAUUACAUUGUUAUCUUAUAAUCCAUAUUUAAGCCUUAUUUUCGGUUUUUGAGGAUUUGUUCUUAUUAUAUUGUUAGAUCUUUGCAUUUUUGUCCUGAUUUUAUCUCUCGACGUGUUAGUCAACUUUUUCAUGCAUUGUUUCAUAUUUUGAUACAUUUGUUUGGUUGUUGUUGCUAUGCUUUCUUCAUCAAGACCUAUUUUUUCAAAUUUUUCGAAAAUUGGGAUUUUACUGAUUUUUGAUGCUUGAUUUGUUUAUGAUUUAUAUGAUCAUGUGGCCCAUAGGAUUAUCUCAUAUUUAUAUACCAAUUUGCUGAAAUUUUCUUUUUAUGAAAUUUUAUAUGUAAAUUUCAUUAUGUUUAACAGGUAAUUUUCAAAAAUGUACUCGUGGGUUCUCGUGCUAGUUGUCCUUAUGGCUGGGGGUGGUCGCGGUAGCAAGCGACAGCGCGCCUCAGCUAAGAGGCCGGUUGAGCAACAACCGGAAGAUGAAGGGAGUGAGUAUGCCCCGGGUGAUGAAUCUGAGGAGGACGAGCAGGAUUGGGAGACUUUUGUUCCUGAAGUUUUGGCUAAGGAAAAGGACGCUGGGAAAGGCAAGGGAAAAGGAAAAGCUGUGGAUAAAGGCAAAGGAAAAGCAACUGAACGUCCCAGUCGUCGUAAGUCCGGGGGUGUUGAGAUUCGAGAACCGGGCUCUGAACACCACGUCGCAGUUUACAGGAUGUUCCAUCUAAUCGACGGUUAAUGUAUUCGUCGAAACACUGCAUUGGUGAGCGAGAUGUUGGGGUGGCCAGUAUUAUUAGUUGUGUGCCGGGUUUUCAGGAUUUGUUUGAACAGGGGAAUCUNUCCAUGUCUAAAUUCACCAUAGCUUCAUCUAGAAGCUAGAUCUAAAGGGAAAUACUCAAACCCUAACAUUAAAACCAUAAAACCCUCGAAUCUUAGGUUACUUAUCUUAGAUCCAAGCUUUUCUUCAUGCUAGGCUUGCAAGGGAGGGUUGCUUCAUCACCAACCAAGCUCUUCUCCACCAUGGCUUCACCAUUGGAGCACCUCAAGGAGGGAGAGAAAGAGAUCUAGAGAAAGAGAGAGCUCUCAUGUUGGCGUUGGAGAGGAGAGAAAUGAGGGCUAAACCUCAUUAUUCCAACCUACACACUCAUCCAAACACAAUUGCAUAUAACCCCCCACACCUCUCAAUGUUUAACACAAUGAUCCAGCCCAAACUGGGCAUUUUCGGGUGCUGGGACCGAUCCCAAGCAGUGAGAGACUGGUCCCCGAAGGUCCAAAAAUUCUGCAUUCCAGACUUAGCCAAAUUUUCAGCAUUUUCAACCUUCGGGUUUGUUUUUGCUCGUUUUCGCUCAUAUGACCUCCGAUUCGUUUCAAAUCGAACCGAGACUCUCCAAACAUCUUUUCGAACAUGUUUAAACCAUCUUUUCAUCCAUGCCCUUGCUAGAUUUAGUCCAUGGUCCAUCAUAGCCUUUCGGGCCCCGUUUUCGCGCCCUACGCACAUUGAAGCAACCGAAUGCUUCCGAACUUCACCGUAACCAUUCUAACGGCUUUCCAAGCUAACAUACACCAUAACUUCAUAAUUAUAGAAGUUCGGCAUGUUACAUUCUCCACCCCUUAAAAUAAGUUUCGUCCGCGAAACUUAGAUCCAAACCACAACUCCUCUCAUCAAACAGAUGAGGACAGAUCCACGCACUACUACUCGAGUGUCCACAGAUCUCGUGCUCUAUGCGCUCAUUUCGAUGUUCAUCUAUAAACAGAACCACAUCGUUUUGUGACGUCCUCUCUUCACGAGUCCGGAAUGCACAUCAAUUGGCUUUCCUAAGUCACUUUCUCAAGUAAUGGUGCAUUCCCCCAGUCUCGACGGAAAUAUUGACUUACGAGUCACCGCAACCACAAACACUCCAAUCCUUAUAGGGUUCAUUGUACCGAGAACUAACCUUUCCUCGACACCAACCCAAUUACCCCACAUGGGUGACACCGUCACCAAACGUCAUAUCCAACCGUGAAUUCACGACUUCGCCGGCGCCUAACAACACAAUUUAGCUACCGCAAUUGUGCACGACGAACCUUCUUCUCCGCCCAAUCCUAGAGCAACUCUUUCGUGUUAAGGAUUUGAUAGGUUGGCGAAUUUCGUAAAGUUGUUUGGAGUCUUGAAGAGUUGAUCGCAGAAGUUUUUGAGAAAAGAUUCAAAUUGGAGGACAAAGACUCAUUCGGAAAGAUCGACACCUAAGGUAUGAAGAAAAGAUCAUUUGUGGUGAAGUUACUGAUUAAAAUAAGUUCAGAAGGCUUAGAUUGAUUUUAAACAAAUUUUCUGAACUUUCUUGUGUUC
Molecule: long non-coding RNA, 3370 nt
Filed under: Ananas comosus (pineapple)
Lineage: Eukaryota; Viridiplantae; Streptophyta; Magnoliopsida; Poales; Bromeliaceae
Description: long non-coding RNA (ACOM_LNC043447)
Source: RNAcentral